This 56-nucleotide non-coding RNA is filed under the name Homo sapiens (human). The record is from RNAcentral. Lineage: Eukaryota; Metazoa; Chordata; Mammalia; Primates; Hominidae.
AAAGCCCGUGGGGGACCUGUUCACUGCAGCCAUGAACAUGAUCCUCCCGGACUUCA